Molecule: ribosomal RNA, 945 nt
Filed under: uncultured organism
Description: bacterial SSU rRNA
Rfam family: Bacterial small subunit ribosomal RNA
Source: RNAcentral
UUGACGGUACCCUACUAGAAAGGAGCCGCUAACUUCGUGCCAGAAGCGUCGGUAAUACGGGGGCUCCAAGCGUUAUCCGGUGUUAUUGGGCGUAAAGAGUCGUGUAGGUGGUUGGGUAAGUUAUCUUUCAAAUAUCUUUGCUUAACAAAGAGGAGGGGGAUAAUACUGCUCGACUAGAAUUUUCUCAAGGGAGAUCGGAACUGAGGGAGGAGUAGUGAAAUGCGUUGAUACCCUCGGGAACACCAGUGGCGUAGGCGGAUCUCUGGGAGAAGAUUGACACUGAGACACGAAAGCUAGGGGAGCGAAGCAGAUUAGAGACCUGCGUAGUCCUAGCCGUAAACGCAUGCUUGCUAGCUGCAUGAAUCUACCUUCGGGUGGUAUCGUGUGGCGAAGGUAACCCGUUAAGCAAGCCGCCUGGAAAGUACGGCCGCAAGGCUGAAAUUCAAAGGAAUUGGCGGGGAGGCACACAACCAGUGGAACAUGUGGUUUAAUUCGAGACUAACCGAAGAACCUCACCAGGGUUUGACAUGUAGCUGCACGUCUUAAGAAAUUAAGACUCUCUUGAAGGUGCUACACAGGUGCUACAUGGCUGUCGUCAGCUCGUUCCGUGAGGAGUGCCCUUAAGUGGGACAACGAGCGCAACCCCUAUUACAUGUUAGAAAUGUCAUGUAAGACUGCCUUGCCAUUUGGCGGGGAGGAAGGAGGGGCAGACGUCAAGUCCGCAUGGUCCUUAUGCCCUGGGCUACACACAUGUUACAAUGAGUACGGCAAUGAGUCUGUCGCGAGCACGUAAGUGUAAGCUAAUCUCUUAAAUGUACUCUCAGUGGGGAUUGAGGUCUGCAACUCGACCUCAUGAACACGGAAUUGGUAGUAAUCGCGGGUCAGCUAUACCGCGGUGGAUACGUUCUUGCCUCUUGCACACACCGCCCGUCAAACCAGCAAAGU